This 392-nucleotide ribosomal RNA is filed under the name Vibrio parahaemolyticus. Its description in RNAcentral is "bacterial SSU rRNA". It matches the Rfam family "Bacterial small subunit ribosomal RNA", at positions 1 to 380 of the family's 1533-position model. The record is from RNAcentral. Lineage: Bacteria; Pseudomonadati; Pseudomonadota; Gammaproteobacteria; Vibrionales; Vibrionaceae.
AUAGAGUUUGAUCCUGGCUCAGAUUGAACGCUGGCGGCAGGCCUAACACAUGCAAGUCGAGCGGAAACUAGUUAUCUGAACCUUCGGGGAACGAUAACGGCGUCGAGCGGCGGACGGGUGAGUAAUGCCUAGGAAAUUGCCCUGAUGUGGGGGAUAACCAUUGGAAACGAUGGCUAAUACCGCAUAAUACCUACGGGUCAAAGAGGGGGACCUUCGGGCCUCUCGCGUCAGGAUAUGCCUAGGUGGGAUUAGCUAGUUGGUGAGGUAAUGGCUCACCAAGGCGACGAUCCCUAGCUGGUCUGAGAGGAUGAUCAGCCACAUCUGGAACUGAGACACGGUCCAGACUCCUAGCGGGAGGCAGCACGUGGGGAAUAUUGCAUCAAUGGGCGCAA